UUCCUGGUGGUCCAGUGGUUAGGAUUCUGCACUUCUACUGCAGCAGGUAUGGGUUCAACCCCUGGUUGAGGAA
RNAcentral lists this transfer RNA (73 nucleotides) under Bos taurus (domestic cattle). It matches the Rfam family "tRNA". From Rfam's summary of the family: Transfer RNA (tRNA) molecules are approximately 80 nucleotides in length. Their secondary structure includes four short double-helical elements and three loops (D, anti-codon, and T loops). Further hydrogen bonds mediate the characteristic L-shaped molecular structure. tRNAs have two regions of fundamental functional importance: the anti-codon, which is responsible for specific mRNA codon recognition, and the 3' end, to which the tRNAs corresponding amino acid is attached (by aminoacyl-tRNA synthetases). tRNAs cope with the degeneracy of the genetic code in two manners: having more than one tRNA (with a specific anti-codon) for a particular amino acid; and 'wobble' base-pairing, i.e. permitting non-standard base-pairing at the 3rd anti-codon position. The record is from Rfam by way of RNAcentral. Lineage: Eukaryota; Metazoa; Chordata; Mammalia; Artiodactyla; Bovidae. RNAcentral also lists the same sequence under 3 other names.